RNAcentral lists this transfer RNA (74 nucleotides) under Candidatus Bathyarchaeota archaeon. RNAcentral's name for it is "tRNA-Thr". It matches the Rfam family "tRNA". Rfam says of the family: Transfer RNA (tRNA) molecules are approximately 80 nucleotides in length. Their secondary structure includes four short double-helical elements and three loops (D, anti-codon, and T loops). The record is from RNAcentral. Lineage: Archaea; Thermoproteati; Candidatus Bathyarchaeota.
GCCCCGGUGGCUCAGCCUGGUAGAGCGGCGGCCUCGUAAGCCGCAGGUCGCGGGUUCGAAACCCGCCCGGGGCU